AUGGCAGAGGCUAUACUGCUCGCUGUUUCGAAGAUUGGGGCGGUCAUUUUGAAUGAAGCUGUCUUCGCUGUCAUAGACAAGCUAUCGAGGAAGGUUGAUAAUCUAAAGGAAUUGCCGGCAAAGAUCAAAAGAAUCAAUACAGAACUGAAUACGAUGAAUGAUGUGAUUCAACACUUGGGUACAACACAACUCAGCAACAAGGUCAUCAAUGGUUGGAUUGGAAACGUGAGGAAGCUGGCCUACCAUGUUGAGGAUGUUAUUGACAAGUACUCGUAUGAGGCUCUUAAGCUCAAGGAUGAAGGCUUCCUAGAUCGGUACAUCUUCAGAGGUUCACGCCAUAUCAAGGUCUUCAGUAAAAUUGCCGAGGAAGUUGUAGAGCUAGAGGAGGAGAUUAGGCAUGUCAAAGGACUGCGUGAUUAUUGGAGUGAUGCAGUCCAACCUGCUAAAAAUGGGCAUGCAGAGAUUGAUAGGCAGCGAUCUGGAGGCUGCUUCCCGGAACAUGUUAGUGACAAGGAUCUUGUGGGAAUUGAUGAAAACAGAAGCAAAUUGACCGAAUGGCUGACCACCAAUGAGAACGAAAGCACAGUGAUUACAGUUUCUGGUAUGGGAGGCUUGGGUAAAACAACCCUUGUGAAAAAUGUGUAUGAUCGGGAGAAAACCAACUUCCCUGAUGCGCAUGCUUGGAUUGUGGUGUCACAGGCAUAUGAUGUAGUGGAUUUACUGAAGACAUUGCUCACUAAGAUACACGACACACAAGAGUCACCUCCGCCGUCACCUCUCAGGGCGGGCGCCAAACCUCAUGUUUAUGAGUUAACAGGGGCGAUAAAGAAGAUAUUGCAAGAUAGGAAGUGCUUGAUCGUGCUUGAUGAUGUGUGGGAUAAAGAAGCAUAUUCUCAGAUGUUCACUGCAUUUCGGGAUCUCCAAGGAUGCCGUGUUAUGAUCACAACACGGAAGGAAGAUGUUGCAGCUCUUGCCCCACCGAGGCGUCGUCUAGUACUGCAACCACUGGGAAGCGUCGAGUCAUUCAAGUUAUUCUGCUCCAGGGCUUUCCACAACAGCCUGGACCACAAUUGCCCUCCAGAGCUUCAUGCGGUAGCUACUGCUAUAGUUGAGCGGUGUCGUGGCCUACCAUUGGCCAUUGUGUCGUCUGGCAGCCUAUUAUCGAGGAAGCAACCGGCAGAGCAUGCCUGGAAUGAUGUGUACAACCAUCUCCGAAGCGAGCUGCGGGGGGAUAACCAUGUCCAAGCUAUACUUAAUCUGAGCUACCAUGACUUGCCUGGUGAUCUCAGGAACUGCUUCCUAUACUGUAGCUUGUUCCGUGAAGACUAUGCAAUGUCACGGGAGAACCUUGUGCGGUUGUGGGUUGCAGAAGGGUUUGCGAUGAAGAAAGAUGACAGCACGCCGGAGGAAGUGGCUGAGGGGUAUCUCAUGGAACUCAUCGGUCGGAAUAUGUUGGAAGUUGUGGAGAGGGAUGAGCUCUUCGGGGUUAGUACAUGUAAGAUGCAUGACCUUGUUCGUGACCUGGCUCUUGCUGUUGCUAAAGAGGAGAGGUUUGGCUCCGCGAGUGAUCAGAGCGAAGUGAAGGACAUGGAUAAAGAAGUUCGCCGAUUCUCAACAUGUGGUUGGAGAGAUAAUAUGGCAGCUGCUCCAGAAGUGGAAUUUCCACGACUCAGGACCGUGAUAUCACUCUCACCGGCUUUGUCCUCUACCAACAUGAUUUCCUCAGUUUUGUCUGGAUCCAACUACCUUACAGUUCUCGAGCUUCAAGACUCUGCAAUAGUCCAAGUGCCAGAAUCCAUCGGGAAUCUGUUCAAUCUUCGCUACAUUGGCUUAAGGCGCACCAAAGUUCAGUCACUGCCAGAUACUAUUGAAAAACUCUCAAACCUUGAGACGUUGGAUGUCAAGCAAACAAGAAUAGAAAAGCUACCACCAGGUAUUGUAAAGGUUGAGAGGCUACGACACCUUUUAGCUGACAAGUUUGCUGACGAGAAGCAGGUGGAGUUCCGGUACUUUGUCGGAGUGGAAGCGCUGAAAAAGCUUUCCAACUUUAAAGAAUUGCAAACUCUUGAGACCGUCCAUGCCAGCAAGGACUUGCCACUACAACUGAAAGAAAUGAAAGAGCUGCGGACUGUUUGGAUUGAUAACAUCAAUGGAUCUAAUUGUGAUGACCUUUUCAAGACCCUCUCAGAUAGGCCCCAACUUUCCAGCUUACUUCUCUCUGCAUGUGAUGUCAAGGAGACAAUUUCUUUCCAAGCACUCAAGCCAGUGUCCAAAAAUUUCCACAGACUAAUCAUUAGAGGUGGCUGGGCCGAUGGGACACUCAAUUGUCCAAUAUUUCAGGGUCAUGGGAAGAAUCUCAAGUAUCUCGCGCUAAGUUGGUGCGAUCUUGGGAGUGAAGACCCCCUGGAGUUACUUGCAACUCAUCUGCCAGCUCUCACUUACCUCACUCUAAACAAGGUGAGAUGUGCAGGUGCGUUGGUUCUUUCUGCAGGGUGCUUCCCUCAGCUUAAGACACUCGUCUUGAAGAACAUGCUUGAUGUCAAGAAACUGGACAUUUUAGAGGGCGCCAUUCCAUACAUUGAUGGGAUCUACAUCAUGUCACUCUCGGAGCUGAGUACGGUCCCUUGUGGCAUCGAAGCCCUUGGAUCUCUCAAGAAGCUCUGGAUGCUGUACCUGCACAAGGGCUUCAAGGAUGACUGGGAUCAGAAGGAGAUGCACAACAGGAUGAAGCAUGUUCUAGAGCUCCGUGCCUAG
Molecule: ribosomal RNA, 2754 nt
Filed under: Triticum aestivum (bread wheat)
Lineage: Eukaryota; Viridiplantae; Streptophyta; Magnoliopsida; Poales; Poaceae
Description: partial small subunit ribosomal RNA
Source: RNAcentral